RNAcentral lists this ribosomal RNA (470 nucleotides) under uncultured bacterium. Its description in RNAcentral is "bacterial SSU rRNA". It matches the Rfam family "Bacterial small subunit ribosomal RNA", at positions 57 to 518 of the family's 1533-position model. The record is from RNAcentral.
GCAAGUCGAACGGUAACGGACGAGGAAGACUUGCUUCCUGGCUGACGAGUGGCGGACGGGUGAGUAAUGCCUGGGGAGCUGCCUGAAUGAGGGGGACAACACCUGGAAACGGGUGCUAAUACCGCGUAAGCCCUGAGGGGGAAAGGCCGGGCAACCGGUCGCAUUCAGAUGCGCCCAGGUGGGAUUAGCUAGUUGGUGGGGUAACGGCCUACCAAGGCGACGAUCUCUAGCUGGUCUGAGAGGAUGAUCAGCCACACUGGAACUGAGACACGGUCCAGACUCCUACGGGAGGCAGCAGUAGGGAAUAUUGCACAAUGGGGGAAACCCUGAUGCAGCCAUGCCGCGUGUGUGAAGAAGGCCCUUUGGGUUGUAAAGCACUUUCAGUAUGGAGGAAGUGAGCUGGGUUAAUAGCCUGGUUCAUUGACGUUACAUACAGAAGAAGCACCGGCUAACUCCGUGCCAGCAGCUGC